UAGGUUGUGGCUCAGUGGUAGAGCAUUUGCCUAGAAUGCAUGAGGCACUAGGUUCAAGUCUCAGUCACAUAA
Molecule: transfer RNA, 72 nt
Filed under: Ictidomys tridecemlineatus (thirteen-lined ground squirrel)
Lineage: Eukaryota; Metazoa; Chordata; Mammalia; Rodentia; Sciuridae
Description: Spermophilus tridecemlineatus (thirteen-lined ground squirrel) tRNA
Rfam family: tRNA
About the family: Transfer RNA (tRNA) molecules are approximately 80 nucleotides in length. Their secondary structure includes four short double-helical elements and three loops (D, anti-codon, and T loops). Further hydrogen bonds mediate the characteristic L-shaped molecular structure. tRNAs have two regions of fundamental functional importance: the anti-codon, which is responsible for specific mRNA codon recognition, and the 3' end, to which the tRNAs corresponding amino acid is attached (by aminoacyl-tRNA synthetases). tRNAs cope with the degeneracy of the genetic code in two manners: having more than one tRNA (with a specific anti-codon) for a particular amino acid; and 'wobble' base-pairing, i.e. permitting non-standard base-pairing at the 3rd anti-codon position.
Source: Rfam by way of RNAcentral